Molecule: ribosomal RNA, 464 nt
Filed under: uncultured bacterium
Lineage: Bacteria
Description: bacterial SSU rRNA
Rfam family: Bacterial small subunit ribosomal RNA
Source: RNAcentral
CCCAGACUCCUACGGGAGGCAGCAGUGAGGAAUAUUGGUCAAUGGUCGCGAGACUGAACCAGCCAAGUAGCGUGCAGGAUGACGGCCCUAUGGGUUGUAAACUGCUUUUAUGCGGGGAUAAAAUGCGUCACGUGUGAUGUUUUGUAGGUACCGCAUGAAUAAGGACCGGCUAACUCCGUGCCAGCAGCCGCGGUAAUACGGAGGAUGCGAGCGUUAUCCGGAUUUAUUGGGUUUAAAGGGUGCGCAGGCGGAGGCACAAGUCAGCGGUAAAAUCGGGGGGCCCAACCCCGCUCCGCCGUUGAAACUGUGUCCCUUGAGUGCGCGAAGGGUAGGCGGAAUGCGUGGUGUAGCGGUGAAAUGCAUAGAUAUCGCGCAGAACUCCGAUUGCGAAGGCAGCAUACCGGCGCCCAACUGACGCUGAAGCACGAAAGCGUGGGUAUCGAACAGGAUUAGAUACCCUAGUA